AGUGAACGCUGGCGGUAGGCCUAACACAUGCAAGUCGAACGGCAACACAGUAAGAUUUUGCCCCUACCGUUGGCGAGUGGCGGACGGGUAAGGCGUGCAUAGGCAUCUUCUUUGUCUUGGGUGACUACGUAAGGCAACUUACACUAAUACCUCAUAUAAUGUACCGCUUGAAUCAAUAGAUCUUGAGACCUUUGCUGUCUCAAUUAGCCGGAGCCGCAUUACCUAGUUGGCGAGGUAACGUCCCACCAAGGCAACGAUGCGUAGCUGGUCUGAGAGGAUGAUCGGCCACACUGGAACUGAGACACGGUCCAGACUCCUACGGGAGGCAGCAGUAGGGAAUCUUCCGCAAUGGGCGAAAGCCUGACGCAGCAACGCCGCGUGAGUGAAGAAGGCCUUCGGAUCGUAAAGCUCUGUUAUUAGGGAAGAACAGAUGUGUAAGUAACCACGCCUGUUCUGACGGUACCUAAACAGAAAGCAACGGCUAACUUCGUG
RNAcentral lists this ribosomal RNA (492 nucleotides) under uncultured bacterium. Its description in RNAcentral is "partial 16S ribosomal RNA". It matches the Rfam family "Bacterial small subunit ribosomal RNA", at positions 29 to 507 of the family's 1533-position model. The record is from RNAcentral.